Molecule: ribosomal RNA, 106 nt
Filed under: Pteropus alecto (black flying fox)
Lineage: Eukaryota; Metazoa; Chordata; Mammalia; Chiroptera; Pteropodidae
Source: RNAcentral
AUCUAUGGCCAUGCCACCCCGAAUGUGCCCGAUCUCGUCUGAUCUCAGAAGCUAAGCAGGGUCGGGCCUGGUUAGUACUUGGAUGGAAGACCAGGUGCUAUAGGGG